This 650-nucleotide ribosomal RNA is filed under the name uncultured bacterium. RNAcentral describes it as "bacterial SSU rRNA". It matches the Rfam family "Bacterial small subunit ribosomal RNA", at positions 72 to 734 of the family's 1533-position model. The record is from RNAcentral.
AGUUUUCGGAUGGAAUUUAUAUUGACUGAGUGGCGGACGGGUGAGUAACGCGUGGGUAACCUGCCUCAUACAGGGGGAUAACAGUUAGAAAUGACUGCUAAUACCGCAUAAGCGCACAGAAUCGCAUGAUUGGGUGUGAAAAACUCCGGUGGUAUGAGAUGGACCCGCGUCUGAUUAGCUAGUUGGUGGGGUAAAGGCCUACCAAGGCGACGAUCAGUAGCCGACCUGAGAGGGUGAUCGGCCACAUUGGGACUGAGACACGGCCCAAACUCCUACGGGAGGCAGCAGUGGGGAAUAUUGCACAAUGGGGGAAACCCUGAUGCAGCAACGCCGCGUGAGUGAAGAAGUAUUUCGGUAUGUAAAGCUCUAUCAGCAGGGAAGAAGAUGACGGUACCUGAUUAAGAAGCCCCGGCUAACUACGUGCCAGCAGCCGCGGUAAUACGUAGGGGGCAAGCGUUAUCCGGAUUUACUGGGUGUAAAGGGAGCGUAGACGGCAUAGCAAGUCUGAAGUGAAAGCCCAAGGCUCAACCAUGGGACUGCUUUGGAAACUGUUAAGCUAGAGUGCUGGAGAGGUAAGCGGAAUUCCUAGUGUAGCGGUGAAAUGCGUAGAUAUUAGGAAGAACACCAGUGGCGAAGGCGGCUUACUGGAC